RNAcentral lists this long non-coding RNA (520 nucleotides) under Mus musculus (house mouse). Its description in RNAcentral is "long non-coding RNA chr1:119986794-119987314". The record is from RNAcentral. Lineage: Eukaryota; Metazoa; Chordata; Mammalia; Rodentia; Muridae.
GAAUGAAGACCAUUCUCAGCAACCAAACUACCCACAUUCCGGAAAAUGCCUACCUGACUCUGAGGGGAUGCAAUGACCGUGAACCCUUUGUAGGCACUACAAUAACAUCAAUGUAGGGCUGAGUCUCCUCGAAAAGAAAUGGAGGCUCCAGUUGAACAGGGUAGGAAACAUACAUACAUGAGCUGGCUGCUACCUGAACCAUCUGUAGCCAGGCCCAGAUCAAGCCCAAGGCUGUUAGAACCAGCUUCCAUUUCAAGCUCCACGUGAGCCCAUGUCUGUGUCCACAUCUCCAACAACACCGUGGUUCAGAGCAAGGGCUCUCUCCGUUUGAACCACAGGGCUUGGGACAGGACAGGUGUUGUGUGUUCAGUAUAUCAAGCCUAGAAAGAUGAGUUAAUCUUGGAAGGAAACACUACCACACCUGCUCUGAGUUCAGCGGUAGUUACAAGCAAGAAUGUAAGGAAAGUUUUAGAUGGUGUCGGUGUUUCUGAAAAAAGAAACGGUGCGGCUGGCUGAUGAC